This is a long non-coding RNA of Acyrthosiphon pisum (pea aphid), 547 nucleotides long. RefSeq lists it as uncharacterized. NCBI's taxonomy places the organism in Eukaryota, Metazoa, Arthropoda, Insecta, Hemiptera, Aphididae. The transcript is spliced from 3 exons. The record is from RefSeq and is a predicted model, not a curated record.
GUAAGCAAGCAAUAAUAAAUAAAAAAAUUAGUACUUAAGAUAAUAUUAAUUUCUAAAUUCGAUUUUAUGUACCUAUCUUUUAGAUUGAUGCACAAUUAAUACAACAACCUGCAGUUGUAUUACAGUUGGACAAAUUAAUCGAAGAACAAGAAUAUUCAGUUGAUUAUCCUGAUGAUCACGAUAGAUCUGUUAGUUUGAAUAUUGAACAACCAGUUCCAUUUACAAAUGAAGAUGAUACAAUGGACAAUAUGGAUGUAGUGCCAAGAUCAGCAGUUGAUGUUUUUAUUCCUACAAUUGAAAAACAACACAUGUGAGAUCCAGUAAGUACCAAACAAAUAUACGAUAACUUGCUUACAUUAUGUUUUAAUUUAAGGAUUAUUUUCAUAGGUGAAACUAGACCUCUAAAACGUGGAGUGCUAAAGUAUUAAAAACAUAAGAUUGAUGGUAUUUAAUUAUAAUUAUGAUAGUUCUUAAAAAAAUAAUGGUUCUAAAUUAAAACUUAAGGAGAUUACUUUUAGGAAUAAUUCCUUAACUUUCUGUUAAUCCA